GUGGGGAAUAUUGGACAAUGGGCGAAAGCCUGAUCCAGCCAUGCCGCGUGUGUGAAGAAGGUCUUCGGAUUGUAAAGCACUUGAAGUUGGGAGGAAGGGCAGUAAGUUAAUACCUUGCUGUUUUGACGUUACCGACAGAAUAAGCACCGGCUAACUUCGUGCCAGCAGCCGCGGUAAUACGAAGGGUGCAAGCGUUAAUCGGAAUUACUGGGCGUAAAGCGCGCGUAGGUGGUUUUGUAAGUUGGAGGUGAAAUCCCCGGGCUCAACCUGGGAACUGCCUCCAAAACUGCAUGACUAGAGUACGGUAGAGGGUAGUGGAAUUUCCUGUGUAGCGGUGAAAUGCGUAGAUAUAGGAAGGAACACCAGUGGCGAAGGCGACUACCUGGACUGAUACUGACACUGAGGUGCGAAAGCGUGGGGAGCAAACAGGAUUAGAUACCCCAGUAGUCC
Molecule: ribosomal RNA, 450 nt
Filed under: uncultured bacterium
Lineage: Bacteria
Description: bacterial SSU rRNA
Rfam family: Bacterial small subunit ribosomal RNA
Source: RNAcentral